GGAGGGUGCAAGCGUUAUUCGGAUUUAUUGGGCGUAAAGGGCGCGUAGGCGGCUUCGCAGGUCAGGUGUGAAAUCCCGGGGCUUAACCCCGGAAGUGCAUCUGAAACCUCGGAGCUUGAGUAUGGGAGAGGGAAACGGAAUUCCCGGUGUAGCGGUGAGAUGCGUAGAUAUCGGGAGGAACACCUGUGGCGAAAGCGGUUUCCCGGACCAAUACUGACGCUGAGGCGCGAAGGCGCGGGGAUCAAACAGUAUUAGAUACCCUGGUAGUCCGCGCAGUAAACGGUGAUCACUUGGUGUGGCGGGUAUUGACCCCUGCCGUGCCGGAGCUAACGCAUUAAGUGAUCCGCCUGGGAAGUACGGUCGCAAGAUUA
This 371-nucleotide ribosomal RNA is filed under the name uncultured bacterium. Its description in RNAcentral is "bacterial SSU rRNA". It matches the Rfam family "Bacterial small subunit ribosomal RNA", at positions 527 to 896 of the family's 1533-position model. The record is from RNAcentral.